CUCGUGUCGUGAGAUGUUGGGUUAAGUCCCGCAACGAGCGCAACCCUUAUUGUUAGUUGCCAUCAUUCAGUUGGGCACUCUAGCGAGACUGCCGCAGACAAUGCGGAGGAAGGUGGGGAUGACGUCAAAUCAUCAUGCCCCUUAUGACCUGGGCUACACACGUGCUACAAUGGAGAGUACAACGAGUCGCAAAGCCGCGAGGCUAAGCCAAUCUCUUAAAGCUCUUCUCAGUUCGGAUUG
This 240-nucleotide ribosomal RNA is filed under the name uncultured bacterium. RNAcentral describes it as "partial 16S ribosomal RNA". It matches the Rfam family "Bacterial small subunit ribosomal RNA", at positions 1059 to 1300 of the family's 1533-position model. The record is from RNAcentral.